RNAcentral lists this long non-coding RNA (6715 nucleotides) under Homo sapiens (human). RNAcentral describes it as "HSALNT0064541". Lineage: Eukaryota; Metazoa; Chordata; Mammalia; Primates; Hominidae. The record is from RNAcentral.
ACUAUUGUCCUAUGACCCUGCCAAAUCCCCCUCUGGGAGAAACACCCAAGAAUGAUCAAUUAAAAAAAAAAAAAGUGAUGCAUUACUGUAGCUAAUUCCUUCAUCCAGAAAACAUCAAGAUUGUGAUACAGGCAUAAAAACAGUCUUACAGAUAUAGUAGAGUAAGGCCCAAAGAAAUUCAAUGACCUUCUUUUAGUUCCAAAGAACUUAAUCAUAUAAGAAACUGCACAGUAACAUAUCAGAAUGAAGGUGGAAAUUUCUCUACAGGCAGCUCUGGUCCAAAGCAUUUUUCUGAACUUGAAAGAGGGUAACAAGAAGUGCUUACUAGGAGUUCUCUUCAAGUCAUCAUAAAAAUCAUGACAAAUUUUAUCAUUUUGUAACUCAAGAUAAUUCAAUAAUGUUCAAUUCUAUCUUCUUUUUUUUUUUUUUUUUGAGACAGAGUUUCAUUCUGUCGCCCAAGCUGGAGUGCAAUGGUGCGAUCUCAGCUCACUGCAACCUCUACCUCCCAGGUUCAAGCGAUUCUCCUGCCUCAGCCUCCCAAGUAGCUGGAAUUACAGGUGCCCGCCACCACACCUGGCUAAUUUUGUAUUUUCAGUAGAGACGGGGUUUCACCAUGUUGGCCAGGCUGGUUUUGAACUCCUGACUUCAGGUGAUCCACCUAUCUCGGCCUCCCAAAGUGCUGGGAUUACAGGCAUGAGCCACUGCACCCGACCAAUUCUGUCUUUUUAUAGAUGAGGAAGGCAAGGCCUGAGGGAAUACAAUGACCUCCUUGAAGUAACACAACUAACAAAGUAAAUGAAAAAGCUAAAACUUAGGCUCAAUUCCUCUGACUCUAACUGCAAACUAUUUCCAACGCAAAAAAAUUGUAACAAUGAUGAUGAGUAAAAACCAGAAAAAAUAAAACUUCUGCUUUUUUCAAAGAUAGGGAACAUUCUUGCAAACAUCUACACUUUCAAGGAAAAUCAGCCUUGGAUUUAUUGCCUUGAAUUUAUCUCCAUUCCUAAGCUUUCAUUGUCCUUGUUGGAUGAAAAUUUUGUCACAGACCUGCAUUGGAGAACAAGUGCCUUAGAGUCUAGAGUUCAAAUACCUUCGAGAACCAGGACAUUGCAAAUCGCUGGAUCUGCAUGCAGGGCAGGGAACAAGGGCCCUACAGGAAAGUGAGGCAUUGGCCUUAGGUGCAAAAUUUUAGGGGAUACCAAAAACUUGGUGAUCAAGAUAAAUAACAUUUCAAUAAAACAAAAUUAAUGUAAAAAUCUAUGUAUUUUUAACAAAAUAUCAAUUUUUUUUUUUUUUUUUGAGACGGAGUCUCCCUCUGUUCCCAGGCUGGAGUGCAGUGGUGCGAUCUCAGCUCACUGCAAGCUCCGCCUCCUGGGUUCACGCCAUCCUCCUGCCUCAAUCUCCUGAGUAGCUGGGACUACAGGUGCCCCGCCAACACGCCCGGCUAAUUUUUUGUAUUUUUAGUAGAGACAGGGUUUCACCAUGUUAGCCAGGAUGGUCUUGAUCUCCUGACCUCGUGAUCCGCCCGUCUCGGCCUCCCAAAGUGCUGGGAUUACAGGCAUAAGCCACCGUUCCCAGCCAAAAUAUCAAUUUUUUAAAUACAGACAGGAUCAAUAGCAUACUGAUUUUUCCUUUAUGUCACAACUCCACUGUGGCUCUGCCUAUAUUGACUGCAUGAACGCAAGCCUUGGUGAGAACAGUGGAAAUUAGAGAGCACGUGUCCUGAAAGGUUUCACAUUUAUUACAAAAUACUGUGAUGCUGUGCUGACUGAACUCUGAGGCCACAUAUGCAACCUCUAGCCCUAAGGGGGUCUACCAGUAUGUGAAUAUCAAGAAUCUCAAAAGAAGCCUUACACUCCAUGCGCCUCUCAGGAAUGUAGGUGGGUCAAGGUAGAUUAGCCAGAGUUUCCUUUACAAAAGGAGUUAGAACACAUCAUGCGGAAUGAAGGGAACUGAAAAACUCAGGUUUGGAGGAAAAUGGGGCUAUCCCUUCAAUGCCUGCUGUGGAUGCCAAAUAGAAAACCUGUCCGUUCUAGGGGGAUAAGAGGUCAAGCUCAAUUAAGGGAUCCUGUCUGGAUAUCAGCAAGAAGCAUCAAUGACUUAUGGGGGCAUUCUGAUAAUCUUCCUACCACUGAAAGAAGAGAGAGGGCAAACAAAAAAGGAGCAAUAUGUCGCUCAGAAGGCACUUUGAUGGUAAAGCCACUGUUUGUAGUCUAACUGCAGUGGCUUAUAUUUAUUGAGCACUCUCAGUGCUGAGCACUUUAUAUACAUCACCUCAGCUGGGCAUGGUGGCCCACACCUAUAAUCCCAGCACUUUGGGAGGCCAAGGCGGGAGGAUCGCUUGAGCCCAGGAGUUCAAGACCAGCCUGGGCAACAUAGGAAGAAUUAAAAAAAAGAAAAUAAUAAAAAGCAUUACCUCAUGUCAUGUUGAUAACAUGUCUAUGUGGUAUGUAUUAUCCUUUUUUCAUGAUAAAGAAACUGAAGGUAAUAAUAGCAGAGCUGGGACUUGAACUCAGGUAGUCCGAUUCCAGAGCCUGCAGGUUUAACUACUCACUAUACUGCCUCUUAGGAGUUAAGACAGGUAGAAAGCACUUGCCCAAAAUAAUACUGAUGGAAAGGUGCCUGGAGAAUUUGCAGUCUGUCAAUUCUCCCAGACAUUUCAAAUUUAAGCUUUGGAUCAAGCAAGAGCACGAGCAAGCUGUACAGCCAUCAGCUUGACACUGAAGGACAGUAUAAUCUAACACUGAAGGACAAAAGGAAUCUAACACAAAGAUGCUGUUGAAGGCAUCAUCCUCUACGUUGACACAGUGUCCACCUUACCCAAACCCAUGGGGAAACAUUUAUUGUUGCUGAGUGUCAAGAAAAGCUGUAUCCCUAAAUAGUUGCUUUGUUUGUAAAUGUGAAUGUAGUGAAUUCUAUACCUGUUUGGUUUCCAUCUUUGUUACGGCUGCUAGGAAUUUUUAAGCCAAAUUAAUAUCCUACAUCUAAAAACUCUGCAGGGCCAUAUGUCUGCAAUAUGUGUUUUGGUAUACUAUGCUCACUUCUUGCUUUAUUAGUUUCCUACCCAUAUCCUUCUUUGGUCCUGAUUUCUACAGCUAUGUAUUUUCUCCUUUCCUUCAUUUAUUAUACUGUCACUAAUGUCUUAUAGAAUCAGGUGCCAAGUGAAUGAAUGAACAAUAUUCAAACAAUAAGUUGCCUUUUUAUGAAUUGGAGGAGACAUGUGACACCCAUUCCAGUCUCUGAAUCUCAAUCAGAGAAAAGCCCAGACUCAAUCAACAAGGCAGUGUUUAUGGGAACCCUGUGAUUAAAAGGUGGUAGCAACAGAGCAACUAGCAAAACUGCAAUAUGGUCAGAAAGGGUGAAUGAUGACCUCCUGUUAGCAAAGAGAGGAACUAUAAUGACCACCCCCAGAGAUUACUUGAACCAUGCUGGGGGCCCUGCCAAUGAGAGAAGAACUUUGGAGCACUGAGUUUCCAUUGAUGAUGCCAGUAAAAGUUUGAAUCUGAGACUUCUAUUAGCAUGACCCACACAUUCUUGAAUCCAUCCUUCCAGAGUGCAACAUCCUAUAAGACAUGAUCAUAUACACAUAAAAGCAGCCUAUGUUUUUGCAUUGGUUUGCCCCACUGAUAUGCAGUGUGUCGCUCCAAAUCAUAAUUAAGCUUUUAGGUACAAAGUUUAUCCUAUGUCUACAAGUUAUUAAGUGAUUUCACUUUCAAGGGCCCCCUUAAUGUUCCCAAAGCUACCCCUGUUCAAGUCAUUCAACUUUUUUAUUGAUUCAGUAACACAGACAUAGCACAGCCAGGUUGAUUGGUCUGUUCCAAGUGGUCAGCAGAGGAAAGGGAUGCACAUGAAAAAGGUAAAUUUGGAUCAGGGGAAUCUUAUGAGAAGAGGUCUGGUCAGAGCCUGACUCAGGUUGUGGAAGCAAAUCCACUCUAAAUUCUGUGCUCAGGGGUCCCCCAUUUGGAUACUGAUUGACAGGCUGAUGUGCACUUCACCCCAUGCCUAGACAGUGAUCUGGAGCUCAAAGAUACAUGGUCACUCCAACACUCCUUCUAAAUGAUGAUACCUGCCAUGGAAAAUUUCCUAUGCUACAUUGGAAAUAUCCAUAAAAGACCUUCAUGUUUCUGAAUCAAUCAACCAACAAACAUUUAAGCAUCAACAUCCAUGAGUUCAUUAUUGUGUUAAGUUUGUGGGUGAAACACCCUCCCCACCCCACACACAAACUAAGACAUGAUUGAUGCCCUCAAAUAACUCACUAUUUAGUUGAGAAUAUAAGCUUAUUACAAAUUACAGCAUCCUUAUAAUCAAAGCAUUUCGUAUUAGCAAUAAAAGUUCAAAGAAGGAAUAGGACACUGAGAGUGGGGUUUGUUAGAGUAGAGAUAGAACUUGAGUUGAACCUGAAGAGUAGGUAAAACGUAAUUAUGAGCAGAAAAUGGCAGCACUUAUUCCAUUUUGGGGAGAAGAGGAGGUAAAUUGUAGACUCAGCUAGCCAUAGUAGUUUUGAGCUAAUACCAGAGUUCUCACAUCUCUCUGGUUGACUUAAGAGACAGUGUCAGAUACUCCAGGGAAGGAAGAACAAUCCUUCAAAGACCACAUAACUUAAACAGUUUUGCAGAAUCAAUUUCAGGUUUUACUUUCCUUGUUUACCCAGUUGGACUUCAUUUGAUUCUUUUCCCUUCCAGGUGGGUCUUACUUUCCCAGUUAUAUUUUGAGCUAUAAUAAUGAAAACACAUUUAUUGGAGUUGGUUUAAAAAAAUGUUCAAAAUAUGUUUGCUACAUCUUUUUUAAUGGAAUGUAUUAUCCUUCCAGAUAGCUGUGCUGCAAGUACUGAUUAUGACUCGCUGUACUGGGAUGAGGGUACAUCUUCCAAUUAUAAAAUUAAUGUAACGUAGCUCCAUUUCCCCAAGUCUACUUCUGGCUACCUGGGAGACCUUCAUUUGUCUUGGAGAUGGUGAUGGAAUUACCUAAGGAAUGGGGGGAUACAGCUUAUCCUUGGGUAUGGGGGCAGGAAGAUAAUUGAUUCAAAGCAAGUAGACAGUCUCAAAGCAGCCAGUGAUGUUCCUGAAGCCACUAGAACUAGAUGGAGCCUACAUUCUCCUGUCAAGCUAAGGGCUUUAGAAACACCAGGGAGAGGGAAGCAGCACAUUUCGUUUCUUUGUAAUAAAUCUCCCAUCUUAUUGUCUAAGACAGUUUGCUCUCCUGAGGACACAGGGCCUGCUUCCUAGCCUUUUCCAAUCGAGCUCUUCCUUGCCUACCACCCAUUUCCAUUAAAAUGGUUUACUGGGAUUCGAAAGAGGCAAGCUGCCACAUCAAGCUUUUUAUUUUCUCUGAACUCCCUCCCUCCCCUCCAAUCUCAUUUAGACCUUUUUCCUUUUCUCUCCCUUCCCCACCUUCCCAUCCUUGUCUUCUUCAGUCAUCCAUUAUUACCCAUGGGAUCUCUUUCUAUAGGUCUUCAGAGAGAAACGAUUCCUGGAUUAGAUUUUGAAGCAAAGCAUUAGGAGACUUUAACUCAAUCUCAAUUACUAUUUGACACUAUGCUUUAUGAGUGAAAAAUGCAAUAAAAUAGUGAUUUCUAAAUUUAACUAGCAUUGUGUAAUGCAAUUAUUUAUUACAGAAGGCUAUUGUUUAUCUAUCGCCUGAGCUGUUGGUUAGCGUGAAAAAGACAGUGUACAGGAAGCCCUAGAGAUCGAUCAUUAUCUAAAGUGGUUAAUCAAAUAUCUAGUUUGUUUCCAUGAUUUUUCCUCCAAUAACCAUGUGACCUAUCACACAAUGUACCAGUGGACUAUAAUUCAAAUCCUUAUAUCAAAACUAGAACACAACCUAGCAGGAAAUGCAAAGAGGUGACUUUUUCAUUCUAUUGUUGGAAAUGCUAAAAAAGACAAUUAAGGCAGAGUGAACUAUAUUUUUCUCCCGCUCACCCAUCCUCACUUUGCUCCCUCCCCUAAUAACCAUAAGCUGAAACCACUUAAGGAUUACAAUUAUCUGUCAUCAUUAUUGCCCGUAUUAUGACUAGGCUGCUACCCAUUGCAAAUGACACUUCUGAAAAUGAAAGAUGCUCUUCUGAGAGAUUUUUGUGUGUUUGUUUUUAGCUUUAUAGGCUCCUUCAGGCACAAUGGGGGAGGAUGUUGGGGGGAGAUGGAAAUUCAGUCAGGAAAACAAUUAACUAGCACAGCUUCACUGCACAGUAACAUCAAAUCAUACAGCAAUUAGAACUCUGCAAAACCCCUGGUUUGGUUUCAUGCACAUUUAAGGAUGAAAACUGAUACGUACACUGAGCUGAUGCUAGACUGCAAAUGAAAAAAUCAAAGAGGUAAAUAUUGUAAAAUUUCAUUCUCUGCCUAAUCACAUCUCUGGAAUGGUGAUUUGAGCUAAGAGUAUUUUCCGUCUGUGCACAAGGAAAUUCACCUCUCUCCUCUAGCCUUAGAAAAUUGCUAGAGAACUGUCCACCAUUCCUUUUCUUCUACAUUGAAUAUAAAACAUUAAUUCUUGCCAAAAAAUAGAUUGUACUUGUUGAAAAUAAAGGGGUUAAUUAACCCAUUGUCCCCACAGAUUACCAAAGCCUUGAUUGUUAAAUCCAGAAAAUAAAUAAUUGUAGCUUCAAAAAAAAAAAAGCAAGAUGAAGAUGCUUUUAAAAGUGGGAAAGAUCCACCAAUUCUUGUAUUGUUGAGCUUUACCAUGCAAAAGAAAUUUACCUUUAUCUUAUAAACAUGCCAGUAUA